Molecule: ribosomal RNA, 253 nt
Filed under: uncultured bacterium
Lineage: Bacteria
Description: partial 16S ribosomal RNA
Rfam family: Bacterial small subunit ribosomal RNA
Source: RNAcentral
UACGGGGGGGGCAAGCGUUGUUCGGAAUUACUGGGCGUAAAGGGCUCGUAGGCGGCCAACUAAGUCGGAUGUGAGAUCCCCAGGCUUAACCUGGGAACUGCAUCCGAUACUGGAUGGCUUGAAUUCGGGAGAGGGAUGCAGAAUUCCAGGUGUAGCGGUGAAAUGCGUAGAUAUCUGGAGGAAUACCGGUGGCGAAGGCGGCAUCCUGGACCGACAUUGACGCUGAGGAGCGAAAGCUAGGGGAGCAAACGGG